GGACUACACGGGUUUCUAAUCCUGUUUGCUCCCCACGCUUUCGCACCUCAGCGUCAGUAUUGGUCCAGGUGGUCGCCUUCGCCACUGAUGUUCCUCCUAAUAUCUACGCAUUUCACCGCUACACUAGGAAUUCCACCACCCUCUACCAUACUCUAGUCAAUCAGUUUCGAAUGCAGUUCCCAGGUUGAGCCCAGGGCUUUCACAUCCGACUUAAUAAACCGCCUACGCGCGCUUUACGCCCAGUAAUUCCGAUUAACGCUUGCACCCUCUGUAUUACCGCGGCGGCUGGCACAA
This 294-nucleotide unclassified non-coding RNA is filed under the name uncultured fungus. Its description in RNAcentral is "sequence contains ITS1". Lineage: Eukaryota; Fungi. The record is from RNAcentral.